RNAcentral lists this ribosomal RNA (253 nucleotides) under uncultured bacterium. RNAcentral's name for it is "partial 16S ribosomal RNA". It matches the Rfam family "Bacterial small subunit ribosomal RNA", at positions 524 to 776 of the family's 1533-position model. The record is from RNAcentral.
UACGUAGGGGGCAAGCGUUGUCCGGAUUUAUUGGGCGUAAAGAGCGUGUAGGCGGCCUGACAGGUCUGCUGUGAAAACUCGAGGCUCAACCUCGAGAUGUCGGCGGAAACCGUCUGGCUAGAGUCCGGAAGAGGAGAGUGGAAUCCCUGGUGUAGCGGUGAAAUGCGCAGAUAUCAGGAGGAACACCAAUGGCGAAGGCAGCUCGCUGGGACGUGACUGACGCUGAGACGCGAAAGCGUGGGGAGCAAACAGG